RNAcentral lists this transfer RNA (68 nucleotides) under Marmota monax (woodchuck). RNAcentral's name for it is "tRNA.Ala". Lineage: Eukaryota; Metazoa; Chordata; Mammalia; Rodentia; Sciuridae. The record is from RNAcentral.
GGAUUGUGACUCAGUGGUAGAGCACUUGCCUAGCAAGUGCAAGGCCCUGGGUUCAAUCCUCAGUACCA